This 644-nucleotide long non-coding RNA is filed under the name Zostera marina. Its description in RNAcentral is "long non-coding RNA (ZMAR_LNC003992)". The record is from RNAcentral. Lineage: Eukaryota; Viridiplantae; Streptophyta; Magnoliopsida; Alismatales; Zosteraceae.
GUAAAUACACUAAUACUUACCGACUAAAUUAAUCAAAUUGUUUUUAGUUUAGAGACGAAAACAGCAAGUUUAGAAAUUAGAAUAAGAAUGACAAUUUCAUGUGCUAGAAGGCUGUGUGUGUUGUUGUUAAAUAUGACCGACCUACUUAAGACUUUUUAAGCUUUCCAGCCAAUUUGACAAAACAAUAAUAAUCUUUGUCUUGCUGGAAUUUUCAAUAAAAAGAAUAAGAUUUCAACUAUUAAUUCUCAAAUCAUAUUUAUUUAUUAAAGAUAGCAGCAAUGUGGAGUUGAGAUCUGGAUUCUUAAGACUCAAACUCUGGAUUCUUUUAACUAUAAUCAGUUUGAGAUUAAUCUUUUAACUAUAAUAUUAUUUAUCCAAUAAUAUUAAAUCUUAAAAUAAUUUAUUUUAGAUCAAACGGUUGGGAUAGCACAUAUAUUACGUUAGUAACCACAUAUACUCGUCUUCAAACUUGACUGCAUUUUCCAAUUGUACUGAGGUAUCGAACCUUACUGCAAGCCGAUAUCAAGUAGUUCCAUAGGUGCGGGAACCACAACAGAAAUGCAUUCUAUUUCUUUUCAAAAUACACACCUGUAACUUGUAAGUUGAAACUGUGAUUCUGUAAAGAUAAAUGAUUUACAGUUCAG